Molecule: transfer RNA, 62 nt
Filed under: Amblyomma cajennense (Cayenne tick)
Lineage: Eukaryota; Metazoa; Arthropoda; Arachnida; Ixodida; Ixodidae
Also listed under: 1 other name
Description: tRNA-His
Source: RNAcentral
GUUUAAUUAGUUUACAUAAAAUUAUAAAUUGUGGAUUUAUAGAAGAAAUUAUUCAUUAGACA